GACGAACGCUGGCGGCGUGCCUAAUACAUGCAAGUCGAACGCAGUAGGGACGGGUGAGUAACACGUGGGUAACCUCCCAUCAGAGGGGAUAACACUUUGACACAGGUGCUAAACCGAUACUGAUGGAUGGACCCGCGGUGCAUUAGCUAGUGGGUGAGGUAAAGGUGCACCAAGGCCACGAUGCAUAGCCGACCUGAGAGGGUGAUCGGCCACACUGGGACUGGGACCCGGCCCAGACUCCUACGGGAGGCAGCAGUAGGGAAUCUUCGGAAAUGGACGGAAGUCGUACCGAGCAACGCCGCGGUAGUGAUGACGGCCUUCGGGUUGUAAAGCUCUGUUAAUCGGGACGCGGUACCGGAAUAGAAAGCCACGGCUAACUACGUGCCAGCCGCCGCGGUAAUAC
This 403-nucleotide ribosomal RNA is filed under the name uncultured bacterium. RNAcentral describes it as "partial 16S ribosomal RNA". It matches the Rfam family "Bacterial small subunit ribosomal RNA", at positions 28 to 526 of the family's 1533-position model. The record is from RNAcentral.